This 450-nucleotide ribosomal RNA is filed under the name uncultured bacterium. RNAcentral describes it as "partial 16S ribosomal RNA". It matches the Rfam family "Bacterial small subunit ribosomal RNA", at positions 338 to 795 of the family's 1533-position model. The record is from RNAcentral.
CCUACGGGGGGCUGCAGUGGGGAAUCUUGCGCAAUGGACGAAAGUCUGACGCAGCGACGCCGCGUGGGUGCUGAAGGCCUUCGGGUUGUAAAGCCCUGUGGGGAGAGACGAAUAAGUGCGGGCUAAUACCCCGCAUGAUGACGGUCUCUCCUUAGCAAGCACCGGCUAACUCUGUGCCAGCAGCCGCGGUAAGACCGAGGGUGCAGACGUUGUUCGGAAUUACUGGGCGUAACGCGGGUGUGGGGGAUGUGAAAGCCCCGGGCUCAACCCGGGAAGUGCACUCGAUACUGUUAGGCUAGAGUACUGGAGAGGUUGGUGGAAGUCUCGGUGUAGAGGUGAAAUUCGUAGAUAUCGAGAGGAACACCGGUGGCGAAGGCGGCCAACUGGACAGAUACUGACGCUGAGACACGAAAGCGUGGGGAGCAAACAGGAUUAGAUACCCGUGUAGUC